RNAcentral lists this ribosomal RNA (416 nucleotides) under Acrapex albivena. Its description in RNAcentral is "partial 16S ribosomal RNA". The record is from RNAcentral. Lineage: Eukaryota; Metazoa; Arthropoda; Insecta; Lepidoptera; Noctuidae.
AGGGCUGCAGUAUAUUGACUGUACAAAGGUAGCAUAAUCAUUAGUCAUUUAAUUGAUGACUUGUAUGAAGGAUUUGAUGAGAUAUAAACUGUCUCUUAUUUAAUUAUAAAAUUUAAUUUUUUUAUUAAAAAGUUAAAAUAUCUUAAAAAGACGAGAAGACCCUAUAGAGUUUAAUAAAUUAUUAGAUUGAGAUUAUAUGUAAAACAAAUUUAAAAUAAAAUUAUUUAUUUUGUUGGGGUGACAAAAAAAUACAUUAAACUUUUUUUUAUUUUAAAACAUUUAUAAGUGAUUAAAUGAUCCAAUAAUAUUGAUUAUGAGAAAAAAUUACCUUAGGGAUAACAGCGUAAUUUUUUUUUUUAGUUCAAAUAAGAAAAAAGAGUUUGCGACCUCGAUGUUGGAUUAAGAUAAAAUUUAAA